Molecule: long non-coding RNA, 1860 nt
Organism: Tupaia belangeri chinensis (Chinese tree shrew)
Lineage: Eukaryota; Metazoa; Chordata; Mammalia; Scandentia; Tupaiidae
Exons: 4
Source: RefSeq, a predicted model, not a curated record
CUUAGCCACCACACCACCCGUUGGCCCUUUAACAUUUAUGUAUCUAUUCAUUUGUUGUGAUUUUCAAGCUGCUGGGCCUGGGACUUGAACCAUGGUUGGUCAUGUGGGAAUCUAGCACCUUAACCACCACACCACCUGCUGGCUCCCAUAUUUAAAAUUUAAUUUUUGGAAAGGUAUGUGUUUGCAUGAUUCAAACAACAAAGCAUUUAGAAAUGAAAAAUUUCCUUUAUACUCUUGUCUUCCUCUACUAAGUCACCAUUCUUACAGAGAUUUUAAAUGCAUUUCCAAGCCAAUACAAAUAUAAGUUCUAUUUUCCUUUCCUUUUUCAUACACAUGGGAGCUUCUAUGUUUUGUUGCCUUUUCACUUAGCAGUGUAUCUUGGAGUUUUUUCAUAACCGUGGAAAAAUAUCCAAGAUAUACUUCACUUAAUAAUCUAUUUUGGAGAUCACUUCUACAUCAUCCCGUGGAUAUAUCAUUGUUUAUUUGACCAGUUCCAUAUUGAUAGAUACUUGGGAAAUUUUCAGUCUUUUGUUUUUACAAGGAAGCUUCAAUAAAUACUUUAGUUACAUAGAUUAUUUUGCAGUCAUACAACUAUAUUUGUAGGGUAAUUCCCUAAAAGUGGUAUUGUUGGGCCAAAAGGUAUGUAUCAUAGAAAUUUGAUAGGUACUACUAAAUUGCCUUCCAUAGGGCUUGUACAGUUAACCCCUUACCAGAAAUACAGGAGAAUGCUUGGUUACUCAUUUUCUUGCCAACAAAAUGUGUUAUUUAAUCUCUGGAUUUUUUCCAGUCCUGUAGGUGAAUAAUGUUAUCUUAGUGUAGUUUUAAUUUGUGUUUCUCUUAUGAGUAAGUUUGAACAUCUCCUCAUAUGUUGAAGAGCCAUUUAUAUUUCCUUUUUUCUGUGAAGUGUAUAUCCUUUGCUUAUUUUGGGAGGCGGGGGUGGUUUAAAUCACUUUGUAGUUGCUUUUUAUAAUAUGGAGAUUUGCCCUUUGUAAUAUGAGUUGCAGCAUGUUUUCCCCUCAUUUGUCAUUUGUCUUUCAGCUUUGCUUAUGAUGUUUUUGCUGUGUAGAUUUAUUUUUUAAUGUAGUCAAAUAUGUCAGUCUUCUUUCAUGACUUCUGGAUUUUGUCAUAGUUAAAAAAAACCUGCUCCACUCCAAAGUUAUGAGAGAAUUCUCUCAUGUUGACUUCCACUAUUUUAUGAUUUCUGUAUUACAUUUAAAGUUUUGGUCCAUCUUUAUUGGUGUAAGAUGUGAGGGAUUGGUCCAACUUAUUUUAUUUUAUUUCCUAAAUGGCUACUCAGUUGCCUCAACACCAUUUAUGAAAACUCUGGUACACAGUUUUGCUUGUUACUAAAACCAGAACUGAUUCAUCUACUUUUUUUCACACCUACUUUGCUGUAUCUGAAUAUGGACACGAUUCUUAUGUUUUUCUUUCUAUUGUAUACCUUCUUUAGUGGCAAAGCUGUCUUACCAUGCUGCAUCUCUGCCUUCUUCAGCAAUGCCAGCAGAUUCCCAUGAUGCAGCAGGGGCUGGCCUCAGAACCUCAUCUGAAUGACUUUGGAGAAAUGCCUUCUCAAUUUGAACCUCAAGCACUUUUCUUUUCUUUCUCCUUUUUUUUGGGGCCCUGCCUAGGACAGGGAUCUUCAUAGAAGACAGCAAAAACUAGCACUCACCAUCUUUUCUGGAAUCUUGAAAGAAGAACUAGGUCUGGCAGUAGAUCAGGAUCCACCUGCUGCGGAAAAACCAGAAGGAUCAUUGACGGUGUCUUGAAAGGAGAAAUAAAGUACUUACCUCAAGAGUUUCACCAAAUUUUCAUACUAGCUUUUAAAUUCACAAAACUAUUAAAAACAGAAUUGAAUUAAGU